This 253-nucleotide ribosomal RNA is filed under the name uncultured bacterium. RNAcentral's name for it is "partial 16S ribosomal RNA". It matches the Rfam family "Bacterial small subunit ribosomal RNA", at positions 524 to 776 of the family's 1533-position model. The record is from RNAcentral.
UACGGGGGGUGCAAGCGUUGUCCGGAUUUAUUGGGUUUAAAGGGUGCGUAGGCGGCUGUAUAAGUCAGUGUUUAAAUUUUGCAGCUUAACUGUAGGUAAGGCAUUGAUACUGUAUAGCUAGAGAUAGGAAGAGGUUUGAGGAAUUUAUGGAGUAGCGGUGAAAUGCAUAGAUACCAUAAAGAAGGUCGAUAGCGAAGGCAUUGAACUGGUCCUAUACUGACGCUGAGGCACGAAAGUGUGGGGAUCAAACAGG